RNAcentral lists this ribosomal RNA (1788 nucleotides) under Triticum aestivum (bread wheat). Its description in RNAcentral is "partial small subunit ribosomal RNA". The record is from RNAcentral. Lineage: Eukaryota; Viridiplantae; Streptophyta; Magnoliopsida; Poales; Poaceae.
AUGGAGGAGAGGGCGCGGCGGCGGGGCACCGGCACCAGCGCGAGCCCUGGCCGCAACAAGGUCUGGGUCGAGCCGCCGGGCAAGAGCCAGCACCACCCUCCGCGCCGCUCGCCCCCGCCCGCGGCCACGGCAGCGGGGAAGAGGGUAGCGGUCGUCUACUACCUCUGCCGCAGCCGCCACCUGGAGCAUCCCCACUUCAUCGAGGUGCCGCUCGCCUCGCCGGAGGCCGGCCUCUACCUGCGAGAUGUGAUUAACCGCCUUAACGUGCUGCGAGGGAAGGGCAUGGCGGCCAUGUACUCCUGGUCCUGCAAGAGGAGCUACAAAAACGGCUUCGUGUGGCACGACAUCUCCGAGGACGAUCUGGUGCUCCCUGCACAAGGCAACGAGUACAUCCUCAAGGGCUCCGAGCUCCUGGACCGAUCGCCGCCUGAUCGCCAGCAGAAUGGCCUUAGCAACACCAAGGCCGAGAGUCCCAAGCACCCUCAACAAGAGUCUCCUCAGUCGCGAGGAUCGCAAGAAGGGUGCUCGUCAUCGUCAUCCCCGUCUGCUGUUAUCAAAGAGGCCUCACCUCCAACUCCUACUCAGCAACCACAACAGCUGGCGCACUCCACAUUUGUGCUAUCAUCAUCUGCUUCCACCAACCGCGAGGACGAGCAAUGCAGGACUACACAUUCUGGCUCAUCCGGGAACCUGUCCCCUGAACCAGUAGGAACUAACGUUCCAUUAUCAGAGGCAACCUCCCCUGGACCUUCCGAGUACAGAGUCUGCAAACCCAUCGGAGCACAGGACGCGUCCACACAAACCGAUGACAGUGAGAGGGAUGUUCCUUCUAAACAUAAUCGCGCUGCAGGAAUCCGUACAGAGGAUUGUACAUCAGAUGCUGAAAUUCAAGAGUGUCAUGAAAGAAGCACGCAAGCAUCGCCAAAGGUCCCUCUACUUGUUCGAGAAUCACCACAGGUGUGUUCAUCUGAUGCUUCUCCCGGUGGCAGAGUUGAGACAUUGGAGUCCCUGAUAAGGGCAGAGGCCAGUAGGAGGAGUAGCUAUAAUAAGGUACUAGAGGAAGAAAAUCUCUAUGGACCAAUGGGUGUGAAGCUGAAGCCAGCCAAUUUGCUCAUGCAGCUGAUCACCUGUGGGUCCAUCUCUGUGAAAGAUCAUCGUGGCUUUGGACUCAUCCCAACAUACAGACCACGGUUUACUCAAGUUGAAUUCCCUUCUCCAAUGUUCUCUACUCCUAUGGCAUUGCGGCACCUUGACAAUGUUCCUUGUAGCGCAAGAACAAUUGGAAUAAGAGUUUCUGAGUCAGAGCAUUUAAGUAGUGAAAGCUUAGUCGAGGAGAGUAAGCAGGAAGAGUCAGGGAGAGGAGAAAUACCCACACUCAAACGCUCAUCAUCUUACGACGAGGAUAGAGUGUAUAGAGCGCCAGACUCUAGAAGGGAUAUGGAAAGCUUGGCUGAGUCGGGUAGUUUCAGAUGUCUCCCACAGACUAUCAAAAUGAUAUCAUGUAAGCAAUCCAGAAGUGGAACAGCAUUCUCCCCCAAUUCUGAUGUCAUGUACAGCUCUAGUCAACAAGAACGUAGUACUGGAUCCUCGCCACUUGGUUCAUCAAGAGGUGCAAGCAAUAGGAUGACUGACCCACUAGGUAAAUUAUCUUCAUCGAGGAGAGAGUCAUUCCAUGAGGAGAAGGACAAAAUGAUCAAGAUCGAAGAAAGGCUUGCUUCUGGAGCACGGGUUAUAAUCCAAUCUGCACCCUUGUGUGAAGAAAGUGAUAACAGCACAGAAUCACUGUAA